Lutra lutra (Eurasian river otter) is the source of this 748-nucleotide long non-coding RNA. RefSeq lists it as uncharacterized. NCBI's taxonomy places the organism in Eukaryota, Metazoa, Chordata, Mammalia, Carnivora, Mustelidae. The record is from RefSeq and is a predicted model, not a curated record. The transcript is spliced from 4 exons.
CGGAAGAGGCGGGGCCCGAAGCGCCGAAAGGGCGGCGGAAGAGCUGUGCUUUCUUUUCCGCGCGGCCACCGAAGGAUGAGGGUGUGUGAGGCCCCGUUGGCCAAGCGGGCCGGGUGGCAGCGUCUGAGGGCCAGUCGCAGGGCUCUUCGAGGUGCAGCAGAGCCUAUGAGGUGAAGAUGAAUGAAGGUCAUCCUGAUGUUUUCCAGAAACUGCUUACAGGAUGGCUGUGAUAAAACCACUAGGAGCACAACUGCACGUAAUGAGCGUAUAGGUAGCUGCAGAUGAAUAUUCAAGUCCAAAACUGUCAUGGUUAAAAUUCAUUGCCUCAAAGACAUGCAGUUGAAAGGAGAAAUGAAGAAUUGGUCAAGAAGACAUGAAACAGAUAAUAAAAUUAAUAUUUUAUUUAACAUUGAUCACCUCACAAUAAAUGAUGUAGAAAAAAUACUCUUUGAGUACUUGUAAUUACUGGUCAGUAAUGCCUGUUACUUUUUAAAUAUCUCUAAACUGCUCCAUUUUCAUAAUCACUAGUCAGACUUGUUUUUAACAUCCUUUAAGGAUACUGUGUUCUUGUCAAUAACUAGCUCAUUUGUGGAUGAUUCCCUUUGAGAAGGCAGUCACCCAGGGAGACAUUCUAGUACCUCCAGUUCUCCUGCCCUUUCUUGCCUUAGGGGAUUUCAGCAAACUAGAUAACCAUAAGGUUUCCUCCAGAACCUGCUAUUAUACCUAAAAAACAAGUAUUUUGGAAUCG